UAGUAAGCGGAGGACAAGAAACUAAACAGGAUCCCCAUAGUAAUGGCGAAUGAACAGGGAUGAGCUCAGCAUGGAAAUUGGGGCCUGUGGCUUUGACUGUAAUCUUGUGAGGCAUUGCCAAACAGAGGCGCAGAUGUAAGUCUCUUGGAAAAGAGCAUCAAUGAGGGUGAGAGUCCUGCUUGUCAUUUGCAGCCCCCCUGUGCACGGUGUGCCUUCUAAGAGUCACGUUCCUCGGGAUUGGAGCGCAAAGUGGGUGGUAACUUUCAUCUGAAGCUAAACAAUGGUUUGGGACCGAUAGGAAACAAGUACCAUGAGGGAAAGGUGAAAAGGACUUUGGAAAGAGAGUUAAAAGUGCCUGAAAUUGCUGAAGGGGAAGCGAAUGGAACCAGUGGUGCUGGGUGAGAUUGUCACAUGCUCCAGGGAUUGGUUGCUGCAUCAGCGCAAGCGAUCUGGCAAUUGUUGAACUGCACGUGUGUGGUGUGUCUUGCCUUGUGUGUCAUUGUGGGUUUAUGCAUUAAGACAAUUCAAAGUGCAUGGCAAUAUGUUUCUGAAUCUAUGAAUGUGAUUUGUUAUGUUUAUGCAUAAGCUUCUUGCUGUCUGUCUGGCUGCAGAGCUCGCCGUCCCCAUUUUUUGGAGAGAUGAGUUGAGCAUUCCUUCUGCACAGAUUCUUGGCUAAAC
This 678-nucleotide ribosomal RNA is filed under the name Ornithocercus quadratus. Its description in RNAcentral is "LSU rRNA". It matches the Rfam family "Eukaryotic large subunit ribosomal RNA", at positions 44 to 618 of the family's 3401-position model. Lineage: Eukaryota; Dinophyceae; Dinophysales; Dinophysaceae. The record is from RNAcentral.